This is a long non-coding RNA of Dreissena polymorpha, 1614 nucleotides long. RefSeq lists it as uncharacterized. NCBI's taxonomy places the organism in Eukaryota, Metazoa, Mollusca, Bivalvia, Myida, Dreissenidae. The transcript is spliced from 7 exons. The record is from RefSeq and is a predicted model, not a curated record.
ACUCUUGCUAGUUAGAUUGAAAACAAUAGAAUAUAAUUUAACAUCCAUUAUACUGCAAAAGAGUGAGGGAACGCCCAUGACGACAAUUCGAUUCGUCUCGGAAUUAGUACUAUAUUUAGAUCGAGGUCUCCCGGACAUGCAGGUUGUUUAGCAAGUAAAGCUACAAUUGAUUAUGCGUAGUAGCAUUUCAUGACGAAAGCUUUCUAACACUGCACCCUCCCUGAAAAAGGGAUUCGGACCCCGAAUACAGAGCGAACAGAUAUACAAGUAGCAAACACAUUUGGGAGUCCCAGUCUGGCAUAUUUACUUGAACAAUACAAGGGUGCCAAAACCUCACAAAGACUGAUUAAAAGAGAAUUUAGACCGGGUGGGUCUCACACGUCUGUCCAGGGAUUCUCAACAUAAAUGGCGGAUGCAGUUGGUGUAAAGGACCAAAGCAAGAAACCAAUGGUGUGCAAGUAAAGCCUACGUCUCCACCCCGCCCCGUUAAAAGGAGUAAAGUUAUGUUAAGGAAUGUAAUUUUAAAGGGAUCAGGAUCAUAAGGUUUACUCUGUGAGGAUCAUGGGUUCCGCAGCAGAGACAGUAGGUUUUCCGAUGGCAAGGUCAAUGGGCAAGUUCAUCUCCCGGCCGAACAUCAUCAUAGAUGGAGUGAAACCUGUGCUUGAGUGUAUGCUGGAGUUGUAAGCCAGUACCAGUAAAGGCAGGAGCUGUAUAAUAAGUUCAAGUGCAGUCCGGAGUCUGGAGGAAGCUUAAUUAACAUAAAGGUCCUUAAGUUCAGUGGAAACCAGCCACAGAAUCUCGUGGAGCUAAUCCAUUCACAUUAGCUAGCGUUAUGAAUAGAUGGCCAAUCUUUACAUAACAAGGACUGCACAUUGAAUUUUAAAUGAAUGUACGAAUAAAAGCAAAGUACUGUGGUGUUUGUUGUCACUACGAAAACAAUAUAGGUAUUAUGGUUCAUAGCGAUCAUAUACGGAAACCUGGACAAUUCUUGUAAUAAUCGACCAAGAUGAUACUGUGACGUCAUAUAUUUACAUACGUCAUAUAUUAAGUGACGAAAUCGUUAUAUUAUCUUAAAGUGUAGUUAUUGAAAAUGAUAUAUGAAAAUUGUGUCUGAAGUAGACGACUGUCGAAAUAAUUCGACUUUGUUUUAAAUCCUGUGAUUAAUAUUAUUAGAAUUAUCAUGUGGAAUAAUUGGAUCAAUAAACGCAUUCUCUAUUGAAAAGCAUGUGUUAUCUCUGGCAACGAGGACGCAACUUCUUAAAAUGGUAACUGGUUUAUUGUUAAAGGUAGUGUUCUAAAGCAUCCGGAUCAGACUAACUUUUAAGGUUUGUCAUAUUACAUUUAUUAUAUUUAAUGGAUCGUCCGGAGCAAUAAUGUAUUUCUCCGUAUUAAAUUUUUGCUCCGGUCAGAAGAGUAUUGAUGAAUUCAUUGAUCCGGAUCGGGACCUGCUCCAGACAGCGUUUGCUAUGACGUCAUAAUUUACCAUCCGGAGUGAACUGAUAUACGUCAUCAUGUACAUUCAUACGGAGCUAUCCGGCGAAGUCUAAACAUUUGUUGAGUUUUAUGAACAAUAUAUUUUUAGUAAAUCGGGAGCGGGGAAUCUGCAUUAAACUG